RNAcentral lists this ribosomal RNA (926 nucleotides) under uncultured bacterium. RNAcentral describes it as "bacterial SSU rRNA". It matches the Rfam family "Bacterial small subunit ribosomal RNA", at positions 458 to 1387 of the family's 1533-position model. The record is from RNAcentral.
CGUGUCCCAUAUUGCAGGUACCGCACGAAUAAGGACCGGCUAAUUCCGUGCCAGCAGCCGCGGUAAUACGGAAGGUCCGGGCGUUAUCCGGAUUUAUUGGGUUUAAAGGGAGCGCAGGCCGUCCUUUAAGCGUGCUGUGAAAUGCCGCGGCUCAACCGUGGCACUGCAGCGCGAACUGGAGGACUUGAGUACGCACGAGGUAGGCGGAAUUCGUGGUGUAGCGGUGAAAUGCUUAGAUAUCACGAAGAACUCCGAUUGCGAAGGCAGCUUACCGGAGCGCAACUGACGCUGAGGCUCGAAAGCGCGGGUAUCGAACAGGAUUAGAUACCCUGGUAGUCCGCGCGGUAAACGAUGGAUGCCCGCCGUUGGGUUUUAGAAUUCAGCGGCCAAGCGAAAGCGUUAAGCAUCCCACCUGGGGAGUACGCCGGCAACGGUGAAACUCAAAGGAAUUGACGGGGGCCCGCACAAGCGGAGGGACAUGUGGUUUAAUUCGAUGAUACGCGAGGAACCUUACCCGGGCUUGAAUUGCAGGAGAACGAUCCAGAGAUGGUGAGGCCCUUCGGGGCUCCUGUGAAGGUGCUGCAUGGUUGUCGUCAGCUCGUGCCGUGAGGUGUCGGCUCAAGUGCCAUAACGAGCGCAACCCUUGUCCAUAGUUGCCAUCAGGUCGUGCUGGGCACUCUGUGGAGACUGCCGCCGUAAGGUGUGAGGAAGGUGGGGAUGACGUCAAAUCAGCACGGCCCUUACGUCCGGGGCUACACACGUGUUACAAUGGGGCAUACAGCGAGUUGGAUGUGCGCAAGUACGUCCGGAUCAAGAAAGUGCCUCUCAGUUCGGACUGGGGUCUGCAACCCGACCCCACGAAGCUGGAUUCGCUAGUAAUCGCGCAUCAGCCAUGGCGCGGUGAAUACGUUCCCGGGCCUUGUACA